UGGAGCCUGCGGUUUAAUUGGAUUCAACGCCGGAAAUCUCACCGGGGGCGACAGCAAUAUGAAGGUCAGGCUGAAGACCUUACCCGAUUAGCUGAGAGGUGGUGCAUGGCCGUCGUCAGUUCGUACUGUGAAGCAUCCUGUUAAGUCAGGCAACGAGCGAGACCCACGUCCACAGUUGCCAGCAUACCCUCCGGGGUGAUGGGUACACUGUGGAGACCGCCGCUGCUAAAGCGGAGGAAGGAGUGGGCAACGGUAGGUCAGUAUGCCCCGAAUCUCCCGGGCUACACGCGGGCUACAAUGGUUGGUACAAUGGGCAUCUACCCCGAAAGGGGAAGGAAAUCUCUUAAAGCCAAUCGUAGUUCGGAUUGAGGGCUGCAACUCGCCCUCAUGAAGCUGGAAUCCGUAGUAAUCGCGUUUCAACAGAACGCGGUGAAUACGUCCCUGCUCCUU
This 450-nucleotide ribosomal RNA is filed under the name uncultured Methanosaeta sp. Its description in RNAcentral is "bacterial SSU rRNA". It matches the Rfam family "Archaeal small subunit ribosomal RNA", at positions 889 to 1338 of the family's 1478-position model. The record is from RNAcentral. Lineage: Archaea; Methanobacteriati; Methanobacteriota; Methanomicrobia; Methanotrichales; Methanotrichaceae.